This 462-nucleotide ribosomal RNA is filed under the name uncultured bacterium. RNAcentral's name for it is "partial 16S ribosomal RNA". It matches the Rfam family "Bacterial small subunit ribosomal RNA", at positions 28 to 507 of the family's 1533-position model. The record is from RNAcentral.
GAUAAACGCUGGCGGCGUGCUUAACACAUACAAGUCGAACGAAGUUUUUCUUUCGGGAGGAACUUAGUGGCGGACGGGUGAGUAACGCGUGGGUAACCUGCCCUGUACAGGGGGACAACAGCUGGAAACGGCUGCUAAUACCGCAUAAGCCCUUAGCACUGCAUGGUGCAUAGGGAAAAGGAGCAAUCCGGUACAGGAUGGACCCGCGUCUGAUUAGCCAGUUGGCAGGGUAACGGCCUACCAAAGCGACGAUCAGUAGCCGAUCUGAGAGGAUGUACGGCCACAUUGGGACUGAGACACGGCCCAGACUCCUACGGGAGGCAGCAGUGGGGAAUAUUGCACAAUGGAGGAAACUCUGAUGCAGCGACGCCGCGUGAGUGAAGAAGUAUUUCGGUAUGUAAAGCUCUAUCAGCAGGAAAGAAAAUGACGGUACCUGACUAAGAAGCACCGGCUAAAUACGUG